UGGAGUACACCUAGUUACCUUGUAUUUGGAUAUUCUUUAUACCAAUAUAAUUGACCAAACAUUGUUAAACGAUGUUGCAUCAUUUCCGUACCACAGAAAUCUCAGAGAAUUGUCGAACUACAUUUAUACCGGAGAAGUUAUAUGUUAGAUUUUCUUAAUGUUUAAACGAGAUCAAGUGAUCCAAACGUAGUAAAAGAUUUGCUCAACUGACAAAUUGUCAUUCUGAAACUGGAUAUUAUUUAUUUAUUACGGUUGGUAUCGGUAAAUUAUUUACACUCAUUUGACUUUUGUAGCUGGUGUUUAUCAGUUCUCAACUAAGUUUCUAAAUAUGGGGCGUGGAAGAGCAGUACCCUAUAUGUCUCAAUCAACAAUAUCAGAGAAAAUUGAACUAAAAAAGCAAAUUACUUUAUUUCAAAGUGUAUCAAUUAUUGUUGGAAUCAUAAUUGGUUCUGGAAUUUUUGUUUCACCUGUUGGAAUUUUAAUGAAUGUAAAAUCAGUGGGAUUCAGUUUAUUUAUGUGGGUUAUUUGUGGCGUCUAUAAUACAUUAUGUGCUGUGUGCUAUGCAGAACUAGGGGCUUCCAUACCCCAGUCAGGUGGAGAAUAUAUUUAUGUUAAAAGAGCAUUUGGUGACUUCAUGGGAUUUAUUAUUUUAUGGAUCAACUUUUUGUUAAUUUGUCCCGUGGGUAUAGCAGCCUUAAGUUUAAUCUGUUGUGUGUAUAUAUUGCAACCGUUUUUUCCUGACUGUGAAAUUCCUGCUAUGGCUACAAGGCUUAUAGCAAUUUGCAUAGUGUGUUUACUUAUAGUUAUCAACGGACGAAACGUGAAAUGGGCGACACGAAUGCAGGUUGUUAUUACAACGGCCAAAUUAGUAGCCUUAGCCAUUGUGGUCAUCAUUGGAUUUAUUUAUUUGGGAACAGGAGACAGAGAAAAUUUUACCAAUAGUUUUGAAGGAACAGAUUAUAGUGCUGGAGCUAUUGCCUUAUCUUUCUACUCUGGUUUCUGGGCUUAUUCAGGAUGCCCAUAGUUGACAGUGUAUAGUGGUGAAUAGUAAUCAUCAGAGAUGAUCACCUACAGUUUCAGUGAGCUGAAAUCUCUGGAUUAUAACCAAAAACAAUACAACUCUCCUAUCCUCAAUGUUGUUAGUGAACAAUUUCCUGAACUCUUAUCAACUGACCAUCUAAUUAACUUAAACUGUGGUGUAGGAAAUUGUAUCCCUGUCAAAAUAUCAAACAAGCCCAGAAAAAGAGGGAAAAGGGUAGUAGAUUUUACUAAUUUAGUACAACUAGAUGUUAAUAGUAAAGAUAAAAAGUGUGAUCAAGUAAAUUUCUGUGUCUUGAACUGUCAAUCCAUAAAAAAUAAAACCGAUAAAAUUCAAGAAUUAAUUAUAGACAAUGAUAUUGACAUAUUUAUUGCCAUUGAAACCUGGCUUAAAGCUAAAGAUAAUUUGGUACUAAAUCAAUUACUUCCUAAUAACUUUAGUUCUGUGUUAUUUAAUCGCAGUGGUGCAAAAACUGGUGGUGGCUUAGCAGUAUACUACAAGAAAACUUUAAAUAUAUCUUCGGUUACUUCAGCCAUUAAUUACAAAAGUUUUGAAGUUCUUCACACCUGACUCAAAUUCAACAAUGAUAAUAAUACAUCUUGUGUGCUUAUAU
Patella vulgata (common limpet) is the source of this 1652-nucleotide RNA transcript. RefSeq lists it as uncharacterized. NCBI's taxonomy places the organism in Eukaryota, Metazoa, Mollusca, Gastropoda, Patellidae. The transcript has 4 exons. The record is from RefSeq and is a predicted model, not a curated record.